UGACUGACCGAUAGUGAACCAGUACCGUGAGGGAAAGGCGAAAAGAACCCCGGCGAGGGGAGUGAAAAAGAACCUGAAACCGUGUACGUACAAGCAGUGGGAGCACCCUUUGGGGUGUGACUGCGUACCUUUUGUAUAAUGGGUCAGCGACUUAUAUUCUGUAGCAAGGUUAACCGUAUAGGGGAGCCGGAGGGAAACCGAGUCUUAACCGGGCGUUAAGUUGCAGGGUAUAGACCCGAAACCCGGUGAUCUAGCCAUGGGCAGGUUGAAGGUUGGGUAACACUAACUGGAGGACCGAACCGACUAAUGUUGAAAAAUUAGCGGAUGACCUGUGGCUGGGGGUGAAAGGCCAAUCAAACCGGGAGAUAGCUGGUUCUCCCCGAAAGCUAUUUAGGUAGCGCCUCGUGAA
RNAcentral lists this ribosomal RNA (409 nucleotides) under Salmonella enterica subsp. enterica serovar Muenster str. CFSAN004344. RNAcentral's name for it is "bacterial LSU rRNA". It matches the Rfam family "Bacterial large subunit ribosomal RNA", at positions 477 to 888 of the family's 2925-position model. Lineage: Bacteria; Pseudomonadati; Pseudomonadota; Gammaproteobacteria; Enterobacterales; Enterobacteriaceae. The record is from RNAcentral.